This 1326-nucleotide long non-coding RNA is filed under the name Salmo salar (Atlantic salmon). RNAcentral's name for it is "lncRNA (ENSSSAG00000118619.1)". Lineage: Eukaryota; Metazoa; Chordata; Actinopteri; Salmoniformes; Salmonidae. The record is from RNAcentral.
CGCUACAUUCCAACUAUGUUUCAUCAGGCGUGGACCUGCAAUUAUUUCAGGGAAGUUUGGAGCUUUUAAUAUCUCAUUGUGCACAUUUAGUGAACGAGCCUGGGCUGCAGAGAACAGGGGAAGGUGUUUCCUGUGAUUUCUCGUCCCCACCCUUGAAAGACCAGCAGAGGAUGAGAGAUGGGAACUUCCUCACACAAACACAGACUAUUUUGGACGGGACCUAUUGUGUGGCUCCCUGGGCCGGCAAAUGUCAAUGUGCCCUGAGCAGACCCUGUGUGUAGUUUGCACCUCAGGCAUAUAUAGGCCUACCUCCCCAAAUGGGAAUUAGGCAUAACAAUCCCUACUUUCCUCCCUUUUCACUGUAAUCAGAGCCUCUAUCUGUUUGCUGGUAAACUCUGAUAUCUGGACAAUAAUACAACAUUGAACUCUACUGUUCUGUUGAGCAACCAUGAAGCAAACGCACCAGGGCUGCUGCAAGAUAAAAGGGAGGCCAUCCCAUUCGAAAUGACCAACGGAUGAGGACGAGCUCUUACAACCCAAAAAAUGGUCCAGAUCCCUUCACCUUCAACGAUCUAAACUGUAUGGACUAUCAAAUAUGGCGUCACAGAAUCCCAAAAGUUACUAAAGUGGGAACAUUUGUAUAUGGUUUGUGAGUAUUGUAGGAUAUGCGGCUCUUAACUGAACACGUGUCUGUUAGAAGAUAUAGCAUUUUUUAUUAUGUACGUCAUUGUUUUGUGUAUUCCAAUUUUGAUGGUAAUUUAGUCAAGAAAGAAUUGUGAUUUUAACUUAAUCAAGACCAACAUCCAGACAUUUUAGUCAGGAAAAUUAUGCUGGAUCCUGAAUUAAUAUGAAUAAAUUAACCCAAAUUGUCAUUGUCUGAGUGUACGAUGAUUGUUUGUCUCACCCCUGUAUUCAAGAUACUGGUUUUGAUUUGAUUAAAUGUACUGAACCUGAAUUCAACACACAAUUCCUCGAUUUAAACCAGUUAGUGACCAGUACACAUGGUUAACAAGUGUUUGUAUGCUUUAAACCUGUUUAAAAUAAUUAUUUAGUUUUCAGUGUAAAUGCCAGGAUUGUAAAGAUGAGCUCUUUUACCAGUAAGUUUCCUGCUUUUGAACAAGUUAUUUUGUAUAUUAGCUGUUCUUGUCAGAAAACAUUUGUCAAAUGUUUCCCAAGGAGGGUUGGGUUUGUUAAAAUCACAGAUGUAUGUUUUAUAAAAUUUGGGGUGAAAGCAAAUAAACUAAAUGUGUUUCUUUUUUGUAAAGGAGCAAUCCAUAAGAUUUCCCUCUGGUCAAUGUUUAUUUGAAUUUCUCAAAUACAGAACAG